RNA transcript from Rhinopithecus roxellana (golden snub-nosed monkey), 6526 nucleotides. It is a transcript of the gene named immunoglobulin superfamily member 9B, with no coding region annotated. NCBI's taxonomy places the organism in Eukaryota, Metazoa, Chordata, Mammalia, Primates, Cercopithecidae. The record is from RefSeq and is a predicted model, not a curated record. The transcript has 22 exons.
GCCGGGGCCGGGGAGGCGCGCGCCGAGCCGAGCGGAGCCCAGGAGGGAUGGAGAGCUGGCCGCCCGGGCUGCAGGAGCACCGGCGCGGGGCGUAGGCGGCGCGAGGCGGGCGCGAGGCGGGCGCUCGGGCGCGAGGCGCGUGCGGGCGCGGGAGCACUUUGCGAUAGGAUGAGGCUCCGGGCUGGCGCGGUAGUACUAUGAUUUGGUAUGUGGCCACUUUCAUAGCAAGUGUGAUCGGCACCCGAGGGCUUGCGGCUCAAGGCGCCCACGGCCUGCGAGAGGAGCCUGAGUUUGUGACGGCAAGAGCUGGGGAGAGCGUGGUCCUACGAUGCGACGUGAUCCACCCAGUGACGGGACAGCCCCCACCCUAUGUUGUAGAGUGGUUCAAGUUCGGGGUCCCCAUCCCUAUCUUCAUCAAGUUUGGCUACUACCCCCCGCACGUGGACCCUGAGUAUGCAGGCCGGGCCAGUCUUCAUGAUAAGGCAUCUCUGCGGCUGGAACAAGUGCGCUCUGAGGACCAGGGCUGGUACGAGUGCAAAGUGCUCAUGCUGGACCAGCAGUAUGACACCUUCCACAACGGCAGCUGGGUCCACCUCACCAUCAACGCCCCUCCCACCUUUACAGAAACACCCCCCCAGUACAUCGAGGCCAAGGAGGGUGGUAGUAUCACCAUGACCUGCACAGCUUUUGGGAACCCCAAGCCCAUUGUCACCUGGCUCAAGGAGGGGACACUCCUCGGUGCUAGUGGGAAAUACCAGGUGAGUGAUGGCAGCCUGACAGUGACAUCGGUCAGUCGGGAGGACAGAGGUGCCUACACCUGUCGAGCGUACAGCAUUCAGGGGGAGGCUGUCCACACCACCCAUCUGCUUGUCCAAGGGCCCCCUUUCAUCGUCUCCCCUCCUGAGAACAUCACCGUCAACAUCUCCCAGGAUGCUCUGCUCACCUGCCGGGCAGAGGCGUAUCCGGGCAACCUCACCUACACCUGGUACUGGCAGGACGAGAACGUCUACUUUCAGAAUGACCUGAAGCUGAGGGUGCGCAUCCUAAUCGAUGGGACCCUGAUCAUCUUCCGGGUGAAGCCAGAGGACUCCGGGAAGUACACCUGUGUGCCCAGCAACAGCCUGGGGCGUUCCCCCUCCGCCUCAGCGUACCUGACGGUGCAGUAUCCAGCCCGUGUCCUCAACAUGCCCCCUGUAAUUUAUGUGCCCGUGGGGAUCCAUGGCUACAUCCGCUGCCCUGUGGAUGCAGAACCACCAGCCACCGUGGUCAAGUGGAACAAGGACGGCCGCCCCCUGCAGGUCGAGAAGAACCUGGGUUGGACCCUGAUGGAGGAUGGCUCCAUUCGAAUUGAGGAGGCCACAGAGGAGGCUCUUGGCACUUACACCUGUGUGCCUUACAACACCCUGGGGACCAUGGGCCAGUCUGCCCCUGCGAGGCUUGUCCUGAAGGACCCCCCCUAUUUCACGGUGCUACCAGGCUGGGAGUACAGGCAGGAGGCUGGCCGGGAGCUGCUUAUCCCCUGCGCGGCCGCGGGGGACCCCUUUCCUGUCAUCACGUGGAGAAAGGUAGGGAAGCCCAGCAGAAGCAAGCACAGUGCCCUGCCCAGUGGGAGCCUGCAGUUCCGUGCCCUGAGUAAGGAGGACCACGGGGAGUGGGAAUGUGUUGCCACCAACGUGGUCACGAGCAUCACUGCCAGCACCCACCUCACCGUCAUUGGCACCAGCCCCCAUGCCCCGGGCAGUGUCCGGGUCCAGGUCUCCAUGACAACUGCCAACGUGUCCUGGGAACCAGGCUAUGAUGGAGGCUACGAGCAGACAUUCUCAGUUUGGUACGGACCUCUGAUGAAGCGGGCACAGUUUGGGCCCCAUGACUGGCUGUCCUUGCCAGUGCCGCCAGGACCCAGCUGGUUGCUGGUGGAUACCCUGGAGCCUGAGACAGCAUACCAGUUCAGCGUCCUGGCCCAGAACAAGCUGGGAACCAGCGCCUUCAGUGAGGUGGUCACUGUGAACACUUUAGCAUUCCCUAUUACAACUCCAGAACCCCUGGUGCUGGUCACCCCACCGAGGUGCCUCAUAGCCAAUCGGACUCAGCAGGGUGUGCUCCUGUCCUGGCUUCCGCCUGCCAACCACAGCUUUCCCAUCGACCGCUACAUCAUGGAGUUCCGCGUCGGGGAGCGCUGGGAGAUGCUCGACGAUGCCAUCCCCGGCACUGAUGGAGAGUUCUUUGCCAAGGAUCUGUCACAGGACACAUGGUACGAGUUCCGGGUUCUGGCCGUCAUGCAGGAUCUGAUCAGCGAGCCCAGCAACAUCGCCGGCGUCUCCAGCACAGACAUCUUCCCGCAGCCGGACCUGACCGAGGAGGGGCUGGCGCGGCCUGUGCUGGCGGGAAUCGUAGCUACCAUCUGCUUCUUGGCAGCUGCCAUCCUGUUCAGCACCCUGGCUGCCUGCUUUGUCAACAAGCAGCGCAAGCGUAAGCUCAAGCGCAAAAAAGACCCUCCACUCUCCAUCACCCACUGCAGGAAGAGCCUGGAGUCUCCCUUGUCCUCUGGCAAGGUGAGCCCUGAGAGCAUCCGCACGCUCCGGGCGCCGUCAGAAUCCUCGGACGACCAGGGCCAGCCUGCGGCCAAGAGGAUGCUGAGCCCUACCCGCGAGAAGGAGCUGUCGCUGUACAAGAAGACCAAGCGGGCCAUCAGCAGCAAGAAGUACAGCGUGGCCAAAGCGGAGGCCGAGGCGGAGGCCACCACGCCCAUCGAACUCAUCAGCAGAGGCCCUGACGGCCGCUUCGUGAUGGACCCUGCCGAGAUGGAGCCCUCACUGAAGAGCAGGCGCAUCGAGGGCUUCCCCUUCGCCGAGGAGACGGACAUGUAUCCCGAGUUCCGCCAGUCGGAUGAGGAGAAUGAGGACCCACUGGUGCCCACAUCUGUGGCCGCCCUGAAGUCCCAGCUCACCCCUCUGUCAUCCAGCCAGGAGUCCUACCUGCCACCACCAGCAUACAGCCCUCGGUUCCAGCCCCGUGGGCUGGAGGGCCCCGGUGGCCUGGAAGGUCGGCUUCAGGCCACAGGCCAGGCCCGGCCCCCUGCCCCCCGGCCCUUCCACCACGGCCAGUAUUAUGGGUACCUCAGCAGCAGCAGCCCUGGGGAGGUGGAGCCGCCCCCAUUCUACGUGCCAGAAGUGGGCAGCCCCCUGAGCUCCGUCAUGUCGUCCCCGCCCCUGCACACCGAGGGGCCCUUUGGCCACCCUACCAUCCCCGAGGAGAAUGGAGAGAAUGCAUCCAACAGCACGCUGCCCUUGACUCAGACACCUACAGGAGGGCGCUCCCCUGAGCCCUGGGGCCGGCCAGAAUUCCCCUUCGGGGGGCUGGAGACCCCAGCAAUGAUGUUCCCCCACCAGCUGCCACCCUGUGAUGUGCCCGAGAGUCUGCAGCCCAAGGCCGGCCUCCCCCGAGGACUGCCCCCCACCUCCCUGCAGGUGCCCGCAGCCUACCCGGGCAUCCUGUCUCUGGAGGCACCAAAGGGUUGGGCAGGCAAGUCGCCCGGCAGGGGCCCUGUCCCAGCGCCUCCCGCCGCCAAGUGGCAGGACAGACCUAUGCAACCUCUGGUAAGCCAAGGGCAGCUGCGACACACAAGCCAAGGCAUGGGCAUACCUGUGCUGCCUUACCCCGAGCCGGCUGAGCCGGGGGCACACGGCGGCCCCAGCACAUUUGGCCUGGACACCCGGUGGUAUGAGCCCCAGCCCCGGCCCCGGCCCAGCCCCCGGCAGGCCAGGCGUGCCGAGCCCAGUUUACAUCAAGUGGUGCUACAGCCCUCCCGGCUCUCACCUCUGACCCAAAGCCCCCUCAGCUCCCGCACUGGCUCCCCUGAGCUUGCCGCCCGGGCCCGGCCUCGCCCGGGCCUCCUACAGCAGGCAGAGAUGUCAGAGAUCACCCUGCAGCCUCCUGCUGCAGUCAGCUUUUCUCGAAAGUCCACACCUUCCACGGGCUCCCCGACCCAGAGCAGCCGCAGCGGGAGUCCCAGCUACCGGCCCGCCAUGGGCUUCACCACACUGGCCACAGGCUACCCUUCCCCUCCACCUGGCCCUGCCCCUGCUGGGCCCGGGGACAGCUUGGACGUGUUUGGACAGACGCCUUCCCCUCGAAGGAUGGGGGAGGAACUGCUCCGACCAGAGCCCCCACCACCCACGUUACCUACUUCAGGGACCCCGGAGCCUGACUUCUCCAGACCACCAGGCCAGGGGCCUCCUGUUCCCAAACUCCUGGCCCUUAGCAGCUCUAGUGAGCGCUGGACUCCAGCUCCCUCCUCAGCCUCUCCUGGAGGCCCAGAGAAAAGUGUCAGGCCUUGUGACCAUGUGCAGGACACGUCCCCCACCCCCACCUGUAUACCUCGCAGGAAGCUGCAGAGAGACAGACAGACAAGCUCCGGCUAUCAGCCCGCCUGAGAGAGCACUCUCUAAACUGUAGCAGCUGGUAUUCCAGCUAUCUGGGCAGUGUUGUCGAGACAAGCCUCUCCUCAGCUCAAUAGGCAGCAUGAAGAAGCCUCAGUCGAGGAUGAGAAGGGGUGAGGAUGUGCCUUCCACACUGGCAAGGUGUGCUCCCUCCCGCCCGGGCACCUGCACCCUUUGUCUGCCUUCCCGCUUCCUUCCCAGCUGCUGCUGUGCUGUAGGAUCUCUCUGGGUAGACUGGCGUGUUGGGUCACUUCUUCACGAGAGGGCUGUGUGUGCCUGUGUGUGCAUGUAAGGGACCCUGUGUGUCCUUCUCAGCUCUGCUGUCAGGGGCUAUGGAAAGUCAAGAAGUUGAUCCUGACCUGAACUUUUGAGGGAGCCUUUUGAAACUUUAUGGACUAAAGUACUAGAGAACAAUGACAUCCCCCAGGAAGAUGGAGGUCACUGCAUUGCCAGUGCAUGCAGGAAACCCCAGAGACCAGAGGCUUAUCUGCAUUUAGUGUGUAAGUCUCCUCUUCCCGCCUUGCUGCCAAGAUAUUUGAUGUUUUGGAGAAGAGGCUGCAGGUUUCCUAUCCCUCUUAACUUUUUUUUUUAACCUGAGACCUCUUGACCUUUGGAGUCUUCUUUUGCCCUCACAGCAUUGUCUGUCCUACCUCUUUUAAUCAGGACUUUCUAAAAACUGUUUGCGAUGGCAAUAGGGGAGGGAGUUGGGGGGUCCAGGAGAAGAAGAGCGAGGCACGCCCAUCCGCCGUAGCCCCAGAGCGUCCCUGCUUCUCUGAUCGUGUGCUAAUGCCAGUGCUGGUGGGAGGACAGAGUGACCUGUCUCUUUCUCUUUCCCCUUCAUUCCUCAGGCUCUGAGGUGGGUUACUUUGAGAAGAAAUGGCAUUGAGAACAUGUCUUUUAGGUUUUCCUCUUUUAUGACUCUUGAAAGAUUCUCUCCAAUAUGCACCGAGUGUCACAGACGGCCUGUCCUCUCAGCUCUCUUGGCUCCCUUGUGUACCUGGGCUGCUGCACGGGUGUGGCCAGACCGUGGACCCUGUCCUAACUGUGCAGUUGAUCCACCAGGCAAGUGACAAUCAGGAUGCAGGAAGAGAGGCCAGUCCACUUCUGUUCCAACCACCUCGUUUCUCUGUCGAAUCCGAAAAUGCAGAGGUUCACCACCUUCUUGUUACAGACAGCAAGGGCUCUGGGAGGCUGCCAGAUUUGGUGGUUCUGCCGUCAUCUCCUGCCACCUUCUCCUGUUUUCUUACAUGACCGAGGAGAGCUGAGCCUUGUCUGCAGAGCUGAGGAGACACUGCCCUGAAAAUGUUGGUAUAUGACAAGAACUCGCUGCUGUAAGCUGCUGCUGUUCUUCGGGAAUCUUGCAGCUGCAGGAGAAGCAGCUGGGGUCCGGGUUUCUCGCUUAGCACCCCCUUUUCUGGAGAUGGAGGAUGGUUCACUGGGAUGGGAGUUGCUUGCCCCCUGCUCUAAUAUGCCCUUUUACUUUCCAUGCAAAGGUCUUGAUGGUGGUGAUUUCUAGGAACUCCAGACGUUGAGCCUACUUCUCUCUCUGACACUGAAUACAUCCCAGCUUGAGUUACAUGGGAAGGGGCUUACUGCUAACGUCUCUCUCUCCCUUUGCUAGGGUCUGCUGAUUGCUCUGCAGGUUGGCUUCCAGCCGAGGUGGGCCAUGCUCCUGGAGCUUUCUACUGGGUUUUCUUCUUUCCAGGAGCAAUAGAAAGGCGGGUGUCAUGGAGCCAUCGUGGGCACCCUGGGUUCUGUGGGACUGAACUCUGUCCUUCUAUGGGUCAGCUGCUUGGAUUUCUUCCAGUCCCUCUUCCAAAGCCUCACACAUCCGGGAGCUGACCUGUGGCUCUCUGGUUGUCCUUUCCAGAACACUUCCACCUGCACCCGGGAACGCUGCUGCACCUGAGAGGCUGGAGGCUCUGAAAUACCAACGGAUAAAGAAGCCCAAAAAGUCAUCCAAGGGCUCUUCGAAGUCAAAGAAACGAUCCGACGGUUCUGCCUCCCAGGCUCAGCAGCUUCCCAACUCUCAGGUUCUGUGGCCCGAUGAAGCUGUCUGCCUCCGAAAGAAGAAGAGACAUUCUCGU